CACAUAUAACACCCCGGCAGUACGAGGACCUGGGGGCCAAGAUACCCAAGGGAGCUAUCCUGACCGGUCCUCCUGGGACAGGGAAGACUCUCCUGGCAAAGGCGACGGCUGGUGAGGCCGACGUGCCGUUCAUCACCGUCAAUGGCUCAGAGUUCCUGGAGAUGUUUGUGGGCGUCGGCCCCGCCAGGGUGAGAGACCUGUUUGUCAUGGCGAGGAAGAACGCUCCCUGCAUCCUCUUCAUCGACGAGAUCGACGCCGUCGGACGCAAACGGGGACGAGGAAACUUUGGAGGACAGAGCGAGCAGGAGAACACGCUGAACCAGCUGCUGGUGGAGAUGGAUGGUGGG
Long non-coding RNA from Etheostoma cragini (Arkansas darter), 347 nucleotides. RefSeq lists it as uncharacterized. Lineage: Eukaryota; Metazoa; Chordata; Actinopteri; Perciformes; Percidae. The record is from RefSeq and is a predicted model, not a curated record. The transcript has 3 exons.